CGGACGGGUGAGUAAUGUAUGGGGAUCUGCCUGAUGGCGGGGGAUAACUACUGGAAACGGUAGCUAAUACCGCAUAAUGUCUACGGACCAAAGCGGGGGACCUCCGGGCCUCGCGCCAUCAGAUGAACCCAUAUGGGAUUAGCUUGUAGGUAAGGUAACGGCUUACCUAGGCGACGAUCCCUAGCUGGUCUGAGAGGAUGAUCAGCCACACUGGGACUGAGACACGGCCCAG
This 232-nucleotide ribosomal RNA is filed under the name uncultured bacterium. Its description in RNAcentral is "partial 16S ribosomal RNA". It matches the Rfam family "Bacterial small subunit ribosomal RNA", at positions 99 to 334 of the family's 1533-position model. The record is from RNAcentral.